GACGAACGCUGGCGGCGUGCUUAACACAUGCAAGUCGAACGGAGUGGCGAACGGGUGAGUAACACGUGGGUGAUCUGCCUUGCACGUCGGGAUAAGCUUGGGAAACUGGGUCUAAUACCGGAUAGUGCAAGAUGAGCUCGCGGCCUAUCUGCUUGUUGGUGGGGUAAUGGCCUACCACGGCGUCGAAGGGUAGCCGGCCUGGGAGGGUGUACGGCCACAUUGGGACUGAGGUAGGGCGCAGCCGCCUACGGGGGGCAGCGGUGGGGAAUAUGGCACAGUGGGCGGGAGCGUGGUGCAGCGGCGCCGGGUGGGGGAUGAAGGCCUUCGGGUUGUGAACGCCUUUCGACUGGGACGCGGUACCUGUAUAAGAAGCACCGGCUAACUACGUGCCAGCAGCCGCGGUAAUUC
RNAcentral lists this ribosomal RNA (408 nucleotides) under uncultured bacterium. RNAcentral's name for it is "partial 16S ribosomal RNA". It matches the Rfam family "Bacterial small subunit ribosomal RNA", at positions 28 to 526 of the family's 1533-position model. The record is from RNAcentral.